Molecule: ribosomal RNA, 117 nt
Filed under: Paraclostridium bifermentans
Lineage: Bacteria; Bacillati; Bacillota; Clostridia; Peptostreptococcales; Peptostreptococcaceae
Source: RNAcentral
ACUAGUUACUAUAGCAAAGAGGAUACACCUGUUCCCAUUCCGAACACAGAAGUUAAGCUCUUUAGCGCCGAUGGUACUUGGUGGGAAGCUGCCUGGGAGAGUAGGACGUAGCCGCGU